UUGCAAUUGCGUUUGGUUGAUUUCUUUUGAACGGAUAUAUCAUCAUUAAUUUCUUCUUCAGAAUGCAUAAGAUUACGUAUGUAGAACAAAAGAGUUGUGUGGUAGAGGGAAAGGAGUGUUGCUAAAGAUUUUAACAUCAUAUGAUUGAAAAGUAAUGGCCAAUCCAAUUAUGUCAAGGUCAAAAUAAAUAAUUCAUGCAGAUUAUUGAAAAAAGAGAGUUUGCUUGUAGCCACACCAACGAUCAAGUAAGUAAUUAUUGUGGUUGAAGGUUUUAGCGUUACAAUAUAUAAUGCAUACAUGAAUCUAGACCAGAG
Molecule: long non-coding RNA, 314 nt
Filed under: Trifolium pratense (red clover)
Lineage: Eukaryota; Viridiplantae; Streptophyta; Magnoliopsida; Fabales; Fabaceae
Description: long non-coding RNA (TPRA_LNC013917)
Source: RNAcentral